Molecule: transfer RNA, 101 nt
Filed under: Roseomonas mucosa
Lineage: Bacteria; Pseudomonadati; Pseudomonadota; Alphaproteobacteria; Acetobacterales; Roseomonadaceae
Also listed under: 1 other name
Description: tRNA-Ala(cgc)
Source: RNAcentral
CGGUGCCAUAGGCGGCGGUGCGCGGCGCCUGGCCGGUCUCGCGCACCGCCAGCGCCACCAGCGGGUGCUCCUCCGGCAGUUCCGGCGCGCCAGGAUCGGCC